RNAcentral lists this long non-coding RNA (5737 nucleotides) under Brassica rapa (field mustard). Its description in RNAcentral is "long non-coding RNA (BRAP_LNC007652)". Lineage: Eukaryota; Viridiplantae; Streptophyta; Magnoliopsida; Brassicales; Brassicaceae. The record is from RNAcentral.
UUUGUUCCGAGCGGUGUCACCAAGUCGCUGCAGGAAGUCGAUACGAAACAGGGACAUGGGUCUUUUCCCAGCGGGUUCAUCAUGCCGCUGUGCUUGCUCGAGCUCGGACUUUGUCUUCUUCGUCUCAAGCUUCUCCAUGGCCGCUUCAACACUACCUCGUCAUCAAUCUGAGCUUCUCAUGUCUUCAGCUCGAGCAGUUGUUUGCUUCGUGAUCCAUCACCGAGGUUCUCAUCAAUCGCCGUGACUGGUUCUCUUCACCGCCGAAGCCAUCUCCACCGUUUUGCUCCACUACAGAGCCUCACGUUCAGGCCGUCUCAGCUCCUCCACCGUAAUCAUCAGCCACGACGAAGCUCCUGAACCAGACUCCUCACUUUGUUCCGCUUUGUUGCAAUCCACUACGGGAUCUCUGGCUCAAGUCGUCUCCUCUCCCGUGAUCAGCCGGCCUCAGCCAAGUCGUCGUCACCGUCGGGACUGAGCCUCACCGUCGAGACUCCUCAUCGGAAAGCUCUCAUGUAUAAGUCGUCUCCUCCUCCCCGUGAUCGGAUCUCCAGGCCGUGGUAUCCGCCUCCGCCGUCGUGAUUCAGAUCCGGAGAAAAGAAGUCGUGAGCUUCAAUGGUGGAUUUUGGAGUUAUUGCACAUCUGGCCCCUCGUCUUUCGGCAGUUUAUGAAUUGACCCCAAAACUAUCAAAUGUGCAGAAAGGUCCCUCUGAGUCAACCCCAAAGCUUUUGAUUGUGCAAUCUAACCCAAGGGAAUAUUCUGAAACUGCAACCUUGGUCCCUGAACUUUGGAUAACUUCAUAUUUGACCCCAGACUUCCAUAGUGUGCAGCUUAGCCCUUGAAUUUUGCCCUAAACUUCCAAAUGUGCAUUCCAACCCCUAUGAUAUGCAAAUAUUGAUGCAAAUGCAACAUAAAGACCUAAAUGCAACCUAGAAUGAACAUAAUAAGCUAAAAUAUGGAUCUAAAACUCAUCAAAAUCAAGAUAUAUCAACUCCCCCAAACUAGACCUUUACUUGUCCACAAGUAAACUUUAAAAACAAUCAAGAGGGAGAUAUUUAAAAUUGGGAACUUAUAACCAAAAGAAACACUUUCUAGCCUUCAAUAUGACAUCCCAAAGAAAACAUAGCAAAUAGCAUGAGCAACUCCCUUAUUAUACUCUAGCUUCUCUAGGCCUAUCCAUACUCUUAUGCCUCUACUCAAGUUGCAAUACUCAUCAACUAACAAGUUCCUUAGCCAACUCUCACAUUUAUUAAAACACACACACAAGGUGAAUUCUUGCAAAUGGGCACAUGAUCUCAAUCAUUUGGCUUGGUGAGUGAAAAUGGUCUAAUGUGAAGCGAGGGUUUUCAAAUGCAUCUUUUAUGGUGACUAACACUCAAGAAUAAGAGCAAGAACAUUAUGCAAAAUUUAUCUAAGAAAAUGAGCAAUUCAUGCAUACAAUGACUUGUUCUCAUCAUUCUACCCCUUUCCUAAAUGAUUUCAAGCUCUACCCUUCUUCUUUUCAUCAUCCCAAAACCCAAAGAUACACUCACUUUCAUCUUUCACCCAAUGAACACAUUCUCAUUUUUUUAUUUUAGCCAACUAGAGAUUCUUUUUUUUAUUCACUCAGCUCUUUUUUUUUCUUUUUCUUUUCAUGUUUUUUUUCUUUUAUUCUAUUGGGGAUUCUAUUUAUAAAAACAAGAGCUUCUUCUUUUUUUUUUUUUUAAAUCCCUAGUGGCUUUCUUUCUUUUUGUCACUCUUUUUGGUUCAUUUCUUUUCACUUUCACUCACAUCCCAAUCCCAAGAUCAAAAGAAUUUAAGCUCACAAACCCAACAACCAUCCUAGAGGCUAGCCUAAAUGAGGUCCUAAUGCUAGCUAAAGAUGAGAACAACUCAUUGUCGCUCCUAAUACUCUCAAAAUUUUGCACAUGACAUGCUAUCAAUAAAAGGCCUCACUCAAGCAAUUAAUGUUGGUUUCAAAGAAUGGUGAGGGUUAAUGGGUAUGGAAGUGCCAUUUGGGUUAACAAAGAUUGGUACAAAGAGAGAAAGAUAACCCAAAUGUGUAUAAUAUCCAUGAUCAAGUAUGCAAAUGUCCAUAUGCAAGAGAGAUUAAGUUCAUUAAGCCCUAGUUCAUUUGGAGUUGGUUUCAAGAACAAUGCCAAUCAUCAAGCAAACAACAUGUUUCAAGAAGAGUUUUCAAGGCUCGAAGCUUACAAGCUUUUUCAAGAGAUGCUUAAGCUACUUGAUAUGUUUAGUUAGGAUGUCAAAUUGAGUUCUAGACAUGUGUUCUUUACAAGGUUUCUCCCAAUGCAUGAAUGCAAUCUAAAUGCUUCUAGACUCAAUCCGAAAGAUGCAAAUGGAUCAAGUGAAACUACAUGAAGAUUUUUUAAAAAAAAUCAAAUUUUUAUGAAUUUUCUAUGCAAAUAAGUAUUCACAAUGCAAUGCAUGAGACUCAUGGCAAGUAAACAAAACAGAAAAUGAUGUGAGAUAGUAGACUCUCCCCCAAACUUACUUCACACAGUCCCUUGUGUGAGAGUAAGCUCAAAGAAGAGAUCCAAGGGAAAGAAAUAAACAUGAAAAGUAAAUAUGUACAAGGUUGGAGUGACACUUACUUGGAGUUAUUGGCUGAAUUGGGUGGUAGAGGACCCUUGGCCUCGGGUUUGUUUCACCAUGGACAUGGACUGAAGGGGAGAAGGCAAGUGUCUAGAGUCACAAUGCUUCACAUCAGCCAAGGCAAGUAAGACUUGACCUGAAAAAUCUCAACCAUGCUUAUUAAAUAACCUAAAAAGAGAAGAUAAAAAAAUAUAUACAAUGGAUAAACAUGGAAUUUCCUCCCAAGUGAGCUUGUUUUAAGUCUCUAUCUUGACUUUGUGUGCUUGUUAAUCAUAGGUAUCAAAAGGUUGAGCCAAUGCACCUUUGGUCCUUCUCUUACAAGAACAAGGAACCAAGUAUGCAAAGGAGCACACUACUAUCCAUAGAAAAUAGACAGAUUUUUCCUCAAAGAGCUUCACUAAAGAUGUGACAUGAAUUAUGAAAUGCUCCUUGAGGUUCAGAUGGUCAUGAGAAUCAAAUGCAUAUGGUGGAAACACACAGUCAACUACAGGCUCAAACAAGGUUUUAACAAAGUAGUCAACUCUAUCUCCAUCAAUCAAGUAAUACACAAUGCUCACAUUCUCAUGAUAAUUUUUGACAAGGGGGUUUUCUAUCCUAAGCAAGAGCAUAUCCACAUCAAGUUCAUCCCGUAAAUCAGCAAGUUCAAGAAGAGGUCUAGGUUCAUUAAGCAUCAAAAACUCAUACUCAAGAUCAAUUGAAGCACAAAGAUAGUUCUUGUCAAAACAAACUUCAAUAUGAUCUCUAGCAAGCUUUUCUAUUCUCAACUCAUCUAGCUUCCUAGUUUCACAUAUUAGAUCAAGACAUUCAUUUAUGAGCACAAGAGAAUCAAAGUCAUGGGCAAUAUUCUCACCACAAGGCAAGCAAAUUUCCUCAAGUUGAAGUUUUAGAGUGGAAAUGCUUGUACCUUCCAGCUGGGGUGGUGGAAACCAAUACAUUACCUCUUUAAGGUCAUAAGCAACAUUGAACUCAUACUGUGUAACCUCCCUUCCUUCAAGCUCUGCUCGAUCCUUAAUAAGCUCCACCCGGAUCCUUUGUGCUAGGGAUGUCUUUGCUGACCCCGGGUACUUCUUCUGAAGCUCAUUUAACUUCACAAGCUGUGCUGGUGUGAGUAUACUUGCAUCAAAGGGUGGUGGCUCCACAUACACAUAUGGCUCAUCUUCGAUGUGAUCUUCAAAUGUGUCUUCCUCUUCUUGUGGCUUCUCAAAGUAGCUUGAAGCCAUCACUGCAAGAACAAAAGCACUAGAAUAAAGAGUUAGUAACUAUACAAAGCAAAACAAAGCAAGAAAAUAAAGCUUAGUCUCAAGAAAGAUUGAAAUCCUAAUGAUAAAUCUACUAGUUCCCCGGCAACGGCGCCAAAUUGAUUACGCGUUUAAGCACACACCAAUUAACCUAAUGUGCCAACAAUACCACAAUCGAAUGGUAUGUCAUUGUAGCAUUUUAGGAUCGAAUCCACAAGGAACUAGUGACCUAUAACACCAAGAAUACACUAGCUUUCUUAAUCUAAGCAAACAAGAGGAUGAAUGAUUUGUAACAAGCUAAGAUCCUAGAAAUAUAAACAAGGUGAUCUCAAAUCCAAUCAAGAAAUAAGUGCAAGAACUUUCAAAUUCUAAGGAUGGAUUCAUGGGUAAGGAUAAUUGAUAUAAGGUGAUCAAGUUUCAAUCUAAAGGUGUCAACUUUCAACCAAUCUAUCUACCUUAGGCCUAGACACAAUCCUAAACAAACUCUAUCCCUAGAUGAAUGCUCAUUUACCUAGAUAACUCAAGCAUCAAAUCCCUUUGGUUGAAUGUUAUCUAAGUAAUCAUUAAUCUCAAGUCUACUAGCCAUCUUAACACCUUUAACAACAAAUCCCUUUGGUAAAGGAUGUUAAAAGCUUAGGAGAGUUGGUUCAGGCAUUUCAUCAAACACCUUCCGGGUAUGAAAUGCCUAGAGCUCAACUUUAGAGAGGCCAACUCUAGAGUUGCAUUAAAAGCACUCUACUAGCAAGGAACAAGAUGGAUCUAUACUAAAACACUUUAGAUCUAGCUUAAUCACCCUAAUCUACCUUAACCCAUGAAUCCAAAAUGUGUCUACUCAAUAAUCUCCAUGAGAAACCUUAAACCCAUGUAAGGAUCAAGGCUAAUCAUGUUAAUGAGCAAGAGAAACACAAUUAUAAGAUGAAGUACUUCCUUAAAUUAUAGAAAGAUUCAACGUUUUACAAGUUUAGACAAAGUCUUGAGAGAAAAUGAGAUAAAAAUAAAGUUUCUAGGUCUAAAACUAUAUAUAGGAGAUCCAAACUCGUGAUGGUUUAAUUGAAUUAAACCGGGUCAAACCGGAAUAAACCGGUCAACAGCUCAAAAUCUUGUCCGCGAGCGGCUUCUUUCUCCCGCUGCAGCAAGCCGCUACAGAGCUAGCUUUGUUCCGAGCGGUGUCACCAAGUCGCUGCAGGAAGUUGAUACGAAACAGGGACAUGGGUCUUUUCCCAGCGGGUUCAUCAUGCCGCUGUGCUUGCUCGAGCUCGGACUUUGUCUUCUUCGUCUCAAGCUUCUCCAUGGCCGCUUCAACACUACCUCGUCAUCAAUCUGAGCUUCUCAUGUCUUCAGCUCGAGCAGUUGUUUGCUUCGUGAUCCAUCACCGAGGUUCUCAUCAAUCGCCGUGACUGGUUCUCUUCACCGCCGAAGCCAUCUCCACCGUUUUGCUCCACUACAGAGCCUCACGUUCAGGCCGUCUCAGCUCCUCCACCGUAAUCAUCAGCCACGACGAAGCUCCUGAACCAGACUCGUCACUUUGUUCCGCUUCGUUGCAAUCCACUACGGGAUCUCUGGCUCAAGUCGUCUCCUCUCCCGUGAUCAGCCGGCCUCAGCCAAGUCGUCGUCACCGUCGGGACUGAGCCUCACCGUCGAGACUCCUCAUCGGAAAGCUCUCAUGUAUAAGUCGUCUCCUCCUCCCCGUGAUCGGAUCUCCAGGCCGUGGUAUCCGCCUCCGCCGUCGUGAUUCAGAUCCGGAGAAAAGAAGUCGUGAGCUUCAAUGGUGGAUUUUGGAGUUAUUGCACAUCUGGCCCCUCGUCUUUCGGCAGUUUAUGAAUUGACCCCAAAACUAUCAAAUGUGCAGAAAGGUCCCUCUGAGUCAACCCCAAAGCUUUUGAUUGUGCAAUCUAACCCAAGGGAAUAU